Non-coding RNA from Ixodes scapularis (black-legged tick), 74 nucleotides. The record is from Rfam. NCBI's taxonomy places the organism in Eukaryota, Metazoa, Arthropoda, Arachnida, Ixodida, Ixodidae.
GCCGGGAUGGUGUAAUCAGUUAAUGUGUCGCCCCGGUCAGGCGAAGGUUGCGGGUUCAAUUCCCGUUCCUGGCC